CCCUUAGAUGUUCUGGGCGGCCCGCGCACUACAACGGCGUGUGCAGCGAGUGCCGAAGUAGAGUUUUCCGAGGUAUUCUUGCAAUGCUCGUUUUGAUGGGGAUAGACCCUUGCAACUGUUGGUUUUGAACGAGGAAUUCCUUGUAAGCAUGGUUUAUCAUCCGACGCUGAAUGCGUCCCUGCCCUUUGUACACACCGCCCGUCGCUCCUACCGAUGAGUCGUCCGGUGAAGUUCGUAGACCUCGUGAUCGCGGAUCACUGGGGGAAGCAAAAUGAACCUCGCGGUUUAGAGGAAGGAGAAGUCGUAACA
This 309-nucleotide ribosomal RNA is filed under the name uncultured eukaryote. RNAcentral describes it as "partial 18S ribosomal RNA". It matches the Rfam family "Eukaryotic small subunit ribosomal RNA", at positions 1470 to 1796 of the family's 1831-position model. The record is from RNAcentral.